CCUACGGGAGGCUGCAGUGGGGGAUAUUGCACAAUGGGGGGAACCCUGAUGCAGCGACGCCGCGUGGGUGAAGACGCGCCUCGGCGCGUAAAGCCCUGUCAGUAGGGGAGAAAAUGACGGUACCUGAAGCAGAAGGCCCGGCUAACUACGUGCCAGCAGCCGCGGUAAUACGUAGGGGGCAAGCGUUAUCCGGAUUUACUGGGUGUAAAGGGGGCGCAGACGGCGUUGCAAGACAGGAGUGAAAGCCCGGGGCCCAACCCCGGGACUGCUCUUGGAACUGCGUGGCUGGAGUGCAGGAGGGGCAGGCGGAAUUCCUGGUGUAGCGGUGAAAUGCGUAGAUAUCAGGAAGAACACCGGUGGCGAAGGCGGCCUGCUGGACUGCAACUGACGUUGAGGCCCGAAAGCGUGGGGAGCAAACAGGAUUAGAUACCCUAGUAGUC
This 440-nucleotide ribosomal RNA is filed under the name uncultured bacterium. RNAcentral describes it as "partial 16S ribosomal RNA". It matches the Rfam family "Bacterial small subunit ribosomal RNA", at positions 338 to 795 of the family's 1533-position model. The record is from RNAcentral.